GCGCGGCCGCCUGGCGCGGGGUUACGCCCAUGUGGAGUGGUGGUGGCUGGGAGAGGCCGCGGAGCCAGCGGCGGGGAGAUCGGAGUGCGCGGGAGACGCGUCCCGGGUGACGGCUGGGAGAGAUACGGGAAACUUCACUCUUUGUCUCUGCCUUUUGGCUAUCACCUAAUUAGCACACAGGCUUCCUGCAUGCCACCUAUACCUGCCUGUUACAAGGGAUAAAGGAAGCUACAUUCAAGUCUUGAGAGAAAGUUCAAGAUGGCUGUGUAGAAGAUCUUGAAUUCGCCUCCUCCCAUGGACACACAUAUGGAACAAGUCCCUCUGAAAAAGACUUGAAAACUAGCUGAACAGCUCCUCCACAACAAAGGAUAAAAGAGCCACAUCGAGACAGGGUCAAGGUUUUUGCUUUGUGUGCGGAUCUAUUGUUGGUUGGAGCUCACCUUCGUCUGUUAAGCCAUAGAGCAUCAUUCAGAUUCCAGUUUUAGCUUUGUUGAGUGGUGCAAGAGCUUAAAGACACAUGCAUGAGGCUCAAUAAAUUAUGGAAUGAAUGGUCUUCAGAGUUACCAGAAAGAAGAACAUUGAAAACACUGUCUGGCUAAAGGAAAAAGAAAUUUGCUUGAGGACGUAAGAUAAUGACUCUGGGGAAGGAAGAGAAACUCCAGAACUACUUUGUUCUCUUCAAAGACUGAGCCUCAGGAGAAAAACUGGACCAGUCAACCCUAUGAGAAGCGCCAUGGAAGUGUUAAAGAAGAGGAUCUAGAGGCCAGAAUAUACGAUAGCAGAAAAGCUUCAGAAGUAUGGAUGAUCUUAGGAUGAGGAAGUUGAGGUGCAAAUAUGCUAAGAUGAUUCCUUGUCUCACAGAAGUGUCAGGGCCAGGAUCUGAACCCAAGGAGUCUGGUGCUGAGGAGAACCUUAUCUGCCUUCUAAUGUAUGAUGUGAACACACCAGUAAGGGCUACGACCAGUCUCCAUCUCCUAAAAUUGUGCUACUCACCAGAUGCACCGACAUCACCUGGGAGCUUAUGAAAAAUGCAGCAUCUCAACCUCACCCCAGACCUACCAAAUUUUAAUUUGCAUUUUAAGAAGAUCCCCAGGUAAGUAGCAUGU
Globicephala melas (long-finned pilot whale) is the source of this 1106-nucleotide non-coding RNA. The record is from RefSeq and is a predicted model, not a curated record. NCBI's taxonomy places the organism in Eukaryota, Metazoa, Chordata, Mammalia, Artiodactyla, Delphinidae.